RNAcentral lists this ribosomal RNA (253 nucleotides) under uncultured bacterium. RNAcentral describes it as "partial 16S ribosomal RNA". It matches the Rfam family "Bacterial small subunit ribosomal RNA", at positions 524 to 776 of the family's 1533-position model. The record is from RNAcentral.
UACGUAGGUGACCAGCGUUGUCCGGAAUUACUGGGCGUAAAGGGCGCGUAGGCGGUCUCAUAAGUCCCGUGUGAAAGCCCCCGGCUCAACCGGGGAACGGCACGGGAAACUGCGAGGCUUGAGUUCGGGAGAGGGAAGCGGAAUUCCGGGUGUAGCGGUGAAACGCGUAGAUAUCCGGAGGAACACCAGUGGCGAGGGCGGCUUCCUGGACCGAUACUGACGCUGAGGCGCGAAAGCUAGGGGAGCAAACGGG